AUGUUGAGGGGAUGUUUUAAAAAUAAGCAUAAUGUUGGCACUGUAAAAAUUCAAUUUUAUUCCCAGGCCAAGAUGAUCCUUCAUCACUGUUUUCUCAUUGGAAGAAUGAUUCUCCUUCAUUUGGAAGCAACUGGCAGAUGUUCCCUGCUGAGCUGGCUCUUGGGUUUCAUGGAAUGCUGUGGUGUUGAAAUUCCAUUGUGUAGAAUGUCUUUCCUCACUCUUUCCACCCCCUGCCCCAGAAAUUGCCUCUACUUCCCCACUCCCAUUCAAAAGGAGGUGUGGGGAGACGUGUUGAGGAGGAAGUUGCUGCAGAGCUCUGGUUGCUCGUAGAGAACCUUCAGCUUGUGGCCUCUCAUUGCAGACUGCUCUGAGCACACUCUUUAGAGGCCUGGGCCAACGUAGUCAGAAGGCUGUAGGAAUGAGUUCCACCAACACUUCCAAUUACUUCCCAGACCGAUUGUGGAAUGACUUAGACUUGGGAAAAUAUGAGGGAAUUCAAUAGCCCAUGAGUGGUUGUAUGGAGUUUACAACUUUCAGAAAGAUAACCUGAGGAAAGAAGACGAAGCAAUAGAAAAUGAUCUUUAUUCCUAUAGGUAGAUGGUGAAUGGGUCACUGGUUCAGGCAAGGAAGUAAUUCUGGACAGAACUUACCCAGUGUGUGAUUUAUCACUGUCAGAAAUAAAAAAUUGCCUUUGCAUUUAUCAUUCUACCUCCUUAUUCUAUCGGCUAAAUUCACACUCUCUUUUUUGCACUUUCCACUGCUUGCUUUAUACAAACUAUAGUGGCUAAGCAUUUUCCUCUAUGCUGACCUCCAGUAAGUUGAGAAUAUACAUGGCAGUUGGGAUAGAAAAACACACAAUUCCAUAUAAGCUAGCAAUAUCUGCGUAUCUCAGCAUCUUUGCAGUGACAUUGAGCUACUGAAGUACUUGUCUUUGUUCACAAAGCUGUUGAUUCCUUGCCAGAAGGACAUUCCACCACAUUAAUCCCACUGAUGACCUGUCUGUGUAGAUGGAUUUUUAAUCCAUUGAUUUUUUUUUAAAAAAACUACCCAAUAGCUCUAUUGAUAACCAUUAUAUAAUUCUAUAUUUCCUAGCUUUUAGCAACAGAGUUCACAUUCUUUAAGAUGUACUAAAACCAGAAAAAAACCUAAUAUUCUUUAUUAUAAUUUCCAAUAUAUCUAGUUUCCUAAUAAUUUUAUAAGUUAAGAACACUCAUAUGUGUAACAACUUUCAAGAUCUAAACACAUUAAUUAAGCAAUGAAAAUAAUCGCAUUUAAUAAACUGUUCAUGGUAAGUAUUUAGAUCCUUGUAAAGCUCAGAUUAACUGCUGAAACAAGUUUAUGCUUUAUCAAACAAGAUUAUCCUUAAGCAGUACACUCUAACUGUCAGACAUUAUGAAACAUUUACUCUUAACUAUGUCUGUUUGAUGGAUGUUGCUUAUGGCCUAUGUAU
Molecule: long non-coding RNA, 1450 nt
Filed under: Canis lupus familiaris (dog)
Lineage: Eukaryota; Metazoa; Chordata; Mammalia; Carnivora; Canidae
Description: lncRNA (ENSCAFG00030005224.1)
Source: RNAcentral